GCGGCCGCGGGCGACUCCUGGUACCCCCGAGGCCCCGCGAACUUACCUUCACAAAGCUGUCGGCGUCCGGGAAGCCUGGCAGCACCAUCUCUCCGUCGGAUUUGGUCGCGCUGGUCGCCGACAGGACCCUGGGCUCCCGGGUACUGGGUGGCGCCAUUUUUUCAGCCUGCACGGCUCGUCUCGCGAGAGCUUGUCGGCCGAGGAGACGGGACGCGUGCGCACCACGCAUGCGCCAGGUAAGCUCCUGAAGAAAGCGUCUAGCUCCAACUGUGCUUCCUCCCUCCAGUACCCUCUGAACUCCUCCAAGCAGACGUUGUUUCCUGCAGACAUCGCUGGAACCAUUCUGGUUAACACAGAGUGGGAACUCAGUACACAUUUGUGAAGUGAACUCCUGGAAGAGCUCUUGUGAGGGAGGCACCGAAUUAUCAGGCAGCUCAAGAGAUAGAUUCACUCUCCUGAAAUUAGAGAUGGGAUGCCCUUAAUACAA
Molecule: non-coding RNA, 487 nt
Filed under: Pan troglodytes (chimpanzee)
Lineage: Eukaryota; Metazoa; Chordata; Mammalia; Primates; Hominidae
Source: RNAcentral